UAGUGACCGAUAGUGAACCAGUACCGUGAGGGAAAGGUGAAAAGCACCCCGGAAGGGGAGUGAAAUAGAUCCUGAAACCGUGUGCCUACAAGUAGUUAGAGCCCGUUAAUGGGUGAUAGCGUGCCUUUUGUAGAAUGAACCGGCGAGUUACGAUUGCAUGCAAGGUUAAGGUGAGAAGCCGGAGCCGCAGCGAAAGCGAGUCUGAAUAGGGCGAGUGAGUAUGUAGUUGUAGACC
This 235-nucleotide ribosomal RNA is filed under the name Streptococcus pneumoniae. Its description in RNAcentral is "partial 23S ribosomal RNA". It matches the Rfam family "Bacterial large subunit ribosomal RNA", at positions 478 to 715 of the family's 2925-position model. Lineage: Bacteria; Bacillati; Bacillota; Bacilli; Lactobacillales; Streptococcaceae. The record is from RNAcentral.